CUCUCCUGCCAGCAUCUGUGUGAUAUGUUUGAUAUUGGGUUGUUUAACUAGAAAUCAACUAAAUGUCAAACAUUCUUACAGCAGUUGGCGAUUCAGCAUUACACUCUUUC
RNAcentral lists this microRNA precursor (110 nucleotides) under Dasypus novemcinctus (nine-banded armadillo). Its description in RNAcentral is "microRNA 190b (ENSDNOG00000026546.2)". The stretch from base 12 to 85 matches the Rfam family "mir-190 microRNA precursor family". Lineage: Eukaryota; Metazoa; Chordata; Mammalia; Cingulata; Dasypodidae. The record is from RNAcentral.